UGUGGAAGAUUGGAUUGGAUGGUAGAUUUCCUUGGCAUGAAAUCCUAGGUGGAGACUAGGGAUGUGAGAGAUAGUGAGAGAGAGGUGGCUAGAGUUUCAGAAGAAAAAGCUCUGUUUUAUUCCUUACCUUGGUAUUACAAUGAUCUGUAUGUAUACCAAUUACAAUGGGUUAAACAACCUAAGCCCGAAGAACUCUCUAGGCUAAUCCAUACAUGAAAGCACUCACCCAAAUCCAAGUCUUGCAUGCUCUCAUCCCUUGGACUUAAUCCUAGUCCAAACUCUUAGUUAGCUCCCGUAAAACCUCUCAAACCGAGCCUUAAGACCCUUAGGAUCAAAUCUGACCCUAGAUCCAAAUAGAAAAUCCAUCUCGCUAUCAGUCCAUGCUUGAGUUGACUCAGACUGAGAUUGAGUCGACUCACCUAGAACUUAGUCGACUCAAAUUGUGAGUCGACUAACCUACGUGCUGUGCCAUAAUUUUUUUGAGACCCCUCUUUCUAUCUACUUGAGACAUAGUCGACUCAUCUAAGACUGAGUCGACUCAUGUUGGAACUUAGUCGACCCAAUUUUAGAUCGAGCCGACUAACCUGC
This 588-nucleotide long non-coding RNA is filed under the name Elaeis guineensis (African oil palm). Its description in RNAcentral is "long non-coding RNA (EGUI_LNC014684)". The record is from RNAcentral. Lineage: Eukaryota; Viridiplantae; Streptophyta; Magnoliopsida; Arecales; Arecaceae.